CGAAAGCCUGACGGAGCCAGACCGCGUGGGGGAGGAAGGCCCUUGGGUUGUAAACCCCUUUUCUCAGGGAAGAAGUUCUGACGGUACCUGAGGAAUCAGCCUCGGCUAACUCCGUGCCAGCAGCCGCGGUAAUACGGAGGAGGCAAGCGUUAUUCGGAAUUAUUGGGCGUAAAGCGUCCGCAGGGGGCGCAUCAAGUCUGCUGUUAAAGGCUGGAGCUCAACUCCGGUAGAGCAGUGGAAACUGGUGCGCUAGAGGGCGACAGGGGUAGAGGGAAUUCCCAGUGUAGCGGUGAAAUGCGUAGAGAUUGGGAAGAACACCGGUGGCGAAAGCGCUCUACUGGGUCGCACCUGACCCUCAGGGACGAAAGCUAAGGGAGCG
RNAcentral lists this ribosomal RNA (379 nucleotides) under uncultured cyanobacterium. Its description in RNAcentral is "bacterial SSU rRNA". It matches the Rfam family "Bacterial small subunit ribosomal RNA", at positions 376 to 770 of the family's 1533-position model. Lineage: Bacteria; Bacillati; Cyanobacteriota. The record is from RNAcentral.